ACGGGAGGCAGCAGUGGGGAAUAUUAGGCAAUGGGGGCAACCCUGACCUAGCAACGCCGCGUGAAGGAUGAAGGUUUUCGGAUUGUAAACUUCUUUGGCAGGGGACGAUAAUGACGGUACCCUGAGAACAAGCCACGGCUAACUACGUGCCAGCAGCCGCGGUAAUACGUAGGUGGCAAGCGUUGUCCGGAUUUACUGGGUGUAAAGGGCGAGUAGGCGGGAAUGCAAGUCAGAUGUGAAAUACCGGGGCUUAACCCCGGAGCUGCAUUUGAAACUGUAUUUCUUGAGUGAUGGAGAGGCAGGCGGAAUUCCCGGUGUAGCGGUGAAAUGCAUAGAGAUCGGGAGGAACACCAGUGGCGAAGGCGGCCUGCUGGACAUUAACUGACGCUGAGGCGCGAAAGUGUGGGGAGCAAACAGGAUUAGAUACCCUGGUA
This 434-nucleotide ribosomal RNA is filed under the name uncultured Clostridium sp. RNAcentral's name for it is "partial 16S ribosomal RNA". It matches the Rfam family "Bacterial small subunit ribosomal RNA", at positions 341 to 792 of the family's 1533-position model. RNAcentral also lists the same sequence under 1 other name. Lineage: Bacteria; Bacillati; Bacillota; Clostridia; Eubacteriales; Clostridiaceae. The record is from RNAcentral.